RNAcentral lists this long non-coding RNA (525 nucleotides) under Trifolium pratense (red clover). RNAcentral's name for it is "long non-coding RNA (TPRA_LNC009118)". The record is from RNAcentral. Lineage: Eukaryota; Viridiplantae; Streptophyta; Magnoliopsida; Fabales; Fabaceae.
GAACUAUUUUGUUCAUUGCUUUGAAAAUCCUUUAUUUAAUGUUUUCCGCUGCGACGUUUCGUGUCACGUGCACGAUCGUUUUAUAAAAUGUUUUCCGUAGCGCUCCGGCUACUUAUCUUUAAAAAGUUUUUAAGAUCAUUUUUUUAAGGGUAGUUAGUUCGGGGUGUUACAAUAGUGGUAUCAGAGCAGGUCGGUUCAUGUGAGCCAUUAGGAUUUUCUUUCUCUUGUAUGAAGCAUGUGUUGGGUACACUGUUAAUACAUUCUAACGUCGAGUUGUGAUUCGUUCAGGAAUCAUGGCUGCUGCUAGGACCAACGCUCAUAUUGCACGAGCUUUGACUGCUUUGACUACAUUGGUGGUAAGGGAUAAUGACCCGGGAAGGGAUAGUGAGAAAAGAUUGGAAAGGUUUAUGUCGCAUAAACCGACUCUGUUUACCGGAGGCUAUAACCCGGAGGGGGCUGUCAAGUGGUUAGACGAGGUUGAGAUCAUCUUUGAAGCAAUGUGUUGUUCUGAGGAGAACAAGACUA